RNAcentral lists this unclassified non-coding RNA (142 nucleotides) under uncultured Phaeosphaeriopsis. Its description in RNAcentral is "sequence contains ITS1". Lineage: Eukaryota; Fungi; Ascomycota; Dothideomycetes; Pleosporales; Phaeosphaeriaceae. The record is from RNAcentral.
CAUUCAGUAGCCCAGCUACUUGUUUACACCCUUGUCUUUUGUCGUACUUAUCGUUUCCUCGGCGGGCUUGCCUGCCGGUUGGACAACUUUAUUAACCUUUUUAAAUUACUUCAAUCAGCGUCUGAAUAAUAUACAAUAAUUA